This is a long non-coding RNA of Varroa destructor (honeybee mite), 4973 nucleotides long. The record is from RefSeq and is a predicted model, not a curated record. NCBI's taxonomy places the organism in Eukaryota, Metazoa, Arthropoda, Arachnida, Mesostigmata, Varroidae.
GCCCACUCAGCUUCACGAGGUCUGUGUAUCAUCGAACAGCUGAUAGUUCAAAUGGUCAUUUGCCAUUAGAGGGCUUCGUAGGUCCAUAACUCGCGAGAACGACAAUAACGAGAUGGUGAUCGUGCGGUCGACAUCGCAAUACGACCUACGGUAAAAUAUUGUCCUGACUAGGAAGCCACCCUGGCUGAAGGUACAAAUGUGGACCCGGUUCAAAUACCAAUGGUGUCGUUUGCGACGCUAACAUUUUACCGUUUCGUCAAAAGUGUUUUCCCCUAUGCUGAGCUGUUUUUUGAGCGAGAAGCAUUUCGACGCCAUGGAGAUUGUUCUCGAACAGAUAUUGAAUUGUUCCUUCAGGUUCUGGCUAGCGCUGCUGAAACGGCUGAUUUUCUUGAGAACGUAAUCACAAUGCGUCUAACAAUAGGGGAUUCUACACGGAUAAGUUAUUCGGCUAGUGGCAUUUACGAUGCGGUCCGUCAUAUUCCUCGGCUACGUGCAAUCAUCGAGUCCUUUGUGGGAAGCUUCUCGCUGGAAAUAGUUGGCUUCGCCGAAGAAGCCCAUGGCAACUACAGCCAUGAUCUCUGCCAUGGAGAAAAGGUACAAAAUGAAAUUAUCACGGUGACCUUUCAAUAUGGCGAAAGUUCGUACGUUAUUAGCCCAAGAGAGCCUCCAGCUGAAAUUCCGCUACGGGUUGACAAUCUAUUUCCGUACGAUUUUGAGCUUCAUCUAGAGAGGAGGGCUGUGGGUAAUUCCGUCCAGCACGGGCAAGAUCGGCUGCCAGUCGAAGUUCUUCCUCUACGAGAGGUGCGGAUAACUGACGACGCGGCGACAGGUUAUGAGGAUCACACAAGCGUUGAACUUAGUUUUGCUUCAUUCAAUAGUCGGAUGUAUCGGGUUAUUGUAAACGUCAUGUGGCGUCAUCGAUAAUAAAUACAUAUUAUAGUGCUUCGAGGUAAAUGCCUGUAUGUUAAUUGUCAUAGUAUUUAUAAAAACUGGUGCUGUCUAUUGCAAGCCUUAAAGGAAAACUUUGAAAACGACUGAAAAAAAUCAUUCCUCAUAAUGAAUCGGUCAUAGGGUUUUUUAUUCGCAUAAAAAUUUCUAUUUUUUUUUUUCUUUUAAACAAGUUUUGAAUUACGUACUCGACAUUAGACGUUAGCAGUUGCCAUCAUUUGUGACGCAGGGCGUGAAGACCUAAAAACAUGAGUACCUAUCUGUCUUUCGAUUGUAAUAUUGAAGGUUUAUUUAUUUAUUUAUUUUUUUUAAUCAUUUUUCCGAUUAUCGCGUAUUACGAAAAUGUAAGUAAUGCUAAACAUAUUGUACCGAUUAGUUAGGAUAAGUUCGAUAACCCAUUUUCUGACAAUUUUAAAAAGCUACAGGCGCACAAUAGCUGCAUCGAACAGUUGUCUUUACGGUUACUAUUAUCUAUAUUUGUUAGUUCUUAUGACAAACACAGAGCCCUUUACGGCGAAGCAAGUUAAUCACUAUAUAGAACACCGGAGAGUUAUGUUACGAGUCCUAGAAUCGAAUUAAAUUUAAAAGUUUUUGAGAUAGUUCCCGUAUGGGGUUUAUUAGAGAAUACAAUUAUUUAUGGCAAGUACCUCCGCUCGUUUCCUCAAUUCAUUAAUACUCAUCGGACACUGUCUGGUCCUAAUUAUGACCAGGAAGAUCCGCGUGACAUCUGACGCGGCCGAGAGCGUGUUAACAUGUACUCCCAACUGUGCUACUGAACAGCGUUGUUACAAAACGUGACAAAUGGAGUCAUGAAUCAGCAGUACGCUGAAAAAAAGAUUCCAAACCGGGUCGUAUUCUAAAAUUGGCCGAAUAUUUUUAUAUCCAUUGGAUUGACACAUAUAGCUGUUGCUUAACUAACCUAUACGAAGUAGAAGUAUCGCUAUAAAAAAAAUAUUUAGGUUUCAGCAGAAACUGAGCUUCUAACGCGUAAACGAAUAUAUUGAAACUUAUAGUAAAUAACAAAUAACAUUUCUGUCGCAUUGCCAUAUUUAGCCUUGCCAAGCAUUCAAAAAAAGCAGAGCAAAGCGCGCCCUCCGAACAGUAAAGUUGCUACCUACGUAAAAAAACUAAUGAUGACAACCGAGGAUGCCGAGAUGCAGAAUUACAAAUGAAUCUAUACGAUUAUUAAGUCAUUUAUUGAGCUAUGAAAACAAUUCUGUUUCAAUUAGCCGUUCUGAUCAUUCAUAACUUAAAAGUUGCCCACAUGGCACAGUUUUAUAAUAAAAAAAAAUGUAAAUUACACAUGAAGUCCAUUUCCUCUAGUGUAAUGCUCGAUACCCAACUCACUGCGGUUCAAGCUGAUGAACUGAUCGUAGGUUAUUUGCAAUUUCUCCUAAAGAUCGUUACUUCGAAUUAUACACCUCAUCGUAGAACAAAUAAAAUGAUCUAAGAACGCCUUUUUAAAGAAACCCACAGUAAAUUCGACAAUAAAUAAAUGGUCUAUGCUAGCUAGAAUUAAUAAUUAGGCAAAACUGACCGAGAUACCAUUUAUAUCUGAUUUGUUUUUUUCACUGUCGAACUUUAUUUCGUACCAAAGAAAUUAAAAAAGAUUUAAAAAAAUGCGCUUGAGAAGUUCUAAGGACACUUCGGAGUUUAAAUAGCGUGCAUUGAAUAGUUAAGUAUUUAUCUAUAAUGGUGUUCCAAAUUAAAGAUUGUCUUUCACAGAACGUAUCUAUAAGACAUUUGGUUUUAUCUCCAAACAAUUGUCUUUGCUAACUAUAUUUUCUUUUUUUUUGGCAAAAGAAAAUAUUAUCUGAAAAUCUGAAUAGUAUUUAGGCAGCAACAUCGCCCAGGUUACUAAAAAUCAACUAUUGUGUUGAAAUUUACCGUGUUCUUGCUUUCGUUGAGUAAUAAUAUUAAAAUAUCUGACUGUUACCUGACAAACCUGAAUAGAUAUAACUGAUCUAUAUCAAAUGAAUAUUGCUCUUCUGAUUAAUUUCCAGCUGUUUAACUAGGAACUAUAUGGAAGACGACAAGUUAAUUGUAUUUUAGUACAUCGUUCCUCACUGUGUUCAAAGCGUCCGGUAAAAGUGUCCUUAGGCAAACGUACAUAUAUUCCGGCUAUAUAAAUUGAACCAAUUAGUUCGAGCAUGUAUGCGUCGAAUAGACAUCUUGGUCCAGCAAUUGGUCAUCAUCGGGGGUCUAGGCAUAAUGAUGCUUCAAAUUUUCCAUCAGGUUUAACUGCCGACUAGAAACCUGGCCUGCUCCCAGUCGAAAAGAGGCACAUCUAUGCCUUCCCUAAAUUUGUUAAGGGAAAACAUGGUCUUAUCGUGUCCUCAUUGAGACAUGCUGUGCUGAGUGCAUACGCUACGGCGGAAUACAACACCGACAAAUUGUGAUACACAUAUUCCAUAUGGACACUCCCUAUAGACACAACUGUGUGGGCUCUAUUCGAACGCACAAAUGUCCACACGGAUCGCUAACGGCCAAUAGCUGCUAAAUAGCCCUCACCCACGAAGUUGUCCAUACGCUCUCAGUUUAUUCAAGGUUUACGUGUUCGCAGCAAAUGUUAUCUACGAAAGGGGUCCGUCGUUUAAGAAACGACGAUCACACGACGAGUCAAACGAAUCUCAAUGGACGGCAUAUCCAUUUUUCUUCAUUGUUAACGUAGUGCCACUGGGUGCUAUGGAAGAAAACAGUGUCAUAAAUAGGCAACUGCUUUCAUGAGUUAAGUGUGUCACUACGCUAGGCCGUAAGUGAUGACUAAGAACAAAUGGCGCGUUCCAGGUUCUACCUUCAAUGGUGACAGGACAAGUUCCCAGCUCCAAAAGCGUUCGCUUUCGCAGUCGUCAGUAAAGAAGGUAUCAACUCUAUCGAGCAAUAGAGUUUCCCGCUUCAGUCGACGGCGCCUGCAAUCAAAAUGCUUGCAGCAUUCGCGCCGUCAAUAAUUUGCGUCAUAGCUGCGUUCUCCUGUUUCAUGUUAACAGGAGCCAUAAGCCUUUCAAGAUGGGUAAUAGAACGAUUUGGUCGUGGCGGGCCAAACAGGGCGGACCGGAUCUGGAUCGAGGUCGUUAAGAAUGCGGUGCCUGUACCAGCAGCUAAUCUCUCACAGAUCUGCAUCGAUAUACCAGAUACAAGCAAAAAAUACCACUCAAUCUACGGCCCGCAUUGUACGUACCAACAACCAAUGAUCCAUCCGUUUGAUAUUGACGUUUCCACGGAUUUCUGUUAAUGUCUAUGAAAUAAAAUCACGCAGAGGCAUCAAUCAAUGAAAAUCGUCGCGUUGGAGAAACGAGGGUGGUGGUCUUGGGGUCUACAGAUACAUCGGUAUACCCUUGUAGCUCCUCAAAACAACUUCUCAAUAUCUAGCAGGGAUAUACAACUUGUAAGCGAUCCUUUUUGGGACAACUUCGGCUCGGCGAGUGUUUCUACGAAUGCUGACGCUUCUAAACGAAAAAGCUGUUCAACGAUGUUGUUAUAAAAGCCUCUAUACGUCUGUGAUCACAGUGAAACCACAUUAUAAAAGAACGGCUAUCGAAGUUAACUGAAAAUGGCGAAUGUCCUCCUAUGAUUUGGUUUCCAGUGGUCGAACAUUAUCGAGUUAGUCGAGCAGCCGUUGAAAAUUCACGCGUUUACAUGGUCGGUUUGUCCGACUGCUCCCUAUUACUAUCUAUCAAUUUGUUGGUUAUCAAACUUCAUUAAAAAAUCACGUUGUCCAUUUUUUUAAUGAAUUACGUGCGCCUAUAAAGCAUCACGGAAGACUCUCUAUGAACGCCUACAAAUGAAUGAAUGCAUCACUUGUGCAAACUAUUCUCAGAAUUCAUACAAAAAAAAUGAAUUUCUGCAUUGUGACUUGUUUAACUCUACGCGGAAGUCAAUGAUAACUUGGUCUUUGAGGAGGAUGGAAGCGUUAGUUUUGCAAUUAGAACAAUGACCAUAGAUAACAUGCGAGCUUAAUGUUCACUAGCCGUCUAUGAACUGUUUCUCCGUGUAAUAAAUGUGCGGAAAAGUCAAUGAUGUGCGUA